This is a long non-coding RNA of Strigops habroptila (Kakapo), 1734 nucleotides long. RefSeq lists it as uncharacterized. The transcript is spliced from 2 exons. Lineage: Eukaryota; Metazoa; Chordata; Aves; Psittaciformes; Psittacidae. The record is from RefSeq and is a predicted model, not a curated record.
GCAAGUUACUGCUACCUGCAGCUACUUUCAGAAAGCAGUGGCACGCCUGUAAUAAGGCCCACUUCAAAGAAUGCAUUUUCAAGAAACAUCUUGCUAUUUAACUGGAAAGUGUUGAAUAGUUUUACACCAAAAUAUCCUACUGCUAAAAUUAUUUUGAGUUCUGUCUACUUUACAGGGUGGCCCAACCAUUAAUUCCAUCUGGUUUGCUAUCUUUGCUGUGGGAAGAGCUGUUGUAUGUCAAAUCGAAUAGCUGAGCAUUUUCCACUUUGCAGAGUCCUAAAAAUGGAACCUGAUCUUCCUUACAAAGAGUUGGGACCAUCUUGCUACUCUGGUACAGAAAACAAUAUUGAAAAAUAUUGACUAUGCAGCACCCUGAAAGUCAACGAAGACUAAAAAUCCAUCCUUGGAUUUCAUUAUAAACUUCACCAUUAUGUCUCAGAUGCUCAACUAUCAUCUCCAUCAGGAAGAGUAGCCUUAACUACUUCAUGUGGCAGGAGCAGCCUUUCAGAACCCGAAGUCAGCUUGAAUAUCAUUGGGAGUGACAGGUAACUUUCAAAGGGCUCAAUUACACUCAAACAUACAAGUACACAUGGCUACCAUUGAAGCCAACAAAAGUCAUCUCUCCAGGGAGAGGCAGGCUCAAGAGAGGCAGGGAGUCAGAGUCUAGUCCUAUUGAGCUGAACUUGGGGCAGGGAGUAGCCGAGAUAAAAUGAGUUUACUGUCCUUUAAACUUGGAGACAGCAGGGAAGUAGCUGGUUGCUCAGUUUUGUACCUAAUUGGUGAUUUUUCUUAAAUAUGGUUGAUUAUUGAUCCAAGGGGUUUUCUGGCAGACACAGUCAGUGAGGCAGAGUGGUCCCUGCCACCAGGGGAUCAGGUAGCUGGCCUUCAGAUUGCUUUGUGCUGCCAGAAAACCCCAGAGAUGCCUAUAUUAGGGAAAGAGUCCGACUCCAGGGAUGCAAGCCAUGUGAAAAUUUUAAUAUGACAAGGAGAAAAUAUGAGUUUAAUGUACUGAAGCCCAAAGCUUCUGUAAGCUAGUGGAUUGCUGAAUCAGUUGCUAAACAAAAACCUUCAUUUCAUUUCACUGAUGUUAGUCUAGUCCUCUUUUUUAUCUGGGUAUUCAAGCUUCCUAGGAAGUGCCUGCUUUGUGCUAACAAAAGGCCUAUAUUCUUUGUAAGUCUUCAUGAGGAGACCAGGCCUUUCCUAUCUUCUGAUCAGAAAUUCAAUAAAAAUCCCUGCAUGUUAUUCCCAAAAUACCACUUUAUAUUUUCUAUAAUAUCAAGUUAAUUUCCCUAGCUUUAAAAUGCAUAAGCUACCUCUUUAUUGACUAAAGCACACUUUGUUACAAUUUGGGGUCUGAUUUCCCCUAUAUUGUGACUAGGGCAAUAAACAUGACAUUGUCAAAGUGCUGGUACAGUUCUGGAAAUGAAUCUGUGUUUCUCUAUAUAAUUAGGAUGUCAACAGUUACAACUAGCAGGGUGGAUAAGCUAAGACCCAUAUUCCAGGGAAUCUACCCUCUGCAAUUGGAGUGGUUGGAAAAAGAGAUAACCUCUGCAGUGACCUUUGAGACCUACUUGAAAUCUAAAGUGACUCAAAACCAAAUCCCUGAAAGAGGAAAAGAUCAUGGACUAAUUAUCUUAAGUCUGAGGAGCCUGCCUGCGACAGUCAGUAGCUUGGUUUUUGCAAAAAACUAGAUCAAAAAUGUGGGGACAAGAUGCAUGUAAGAGUUAGAUUGGC